CCUCUUCGAUCUGCUGCGGGCAGAUGAAGUGGAUAUGCGCGUCCAUACCCCCUGCGGUGACGAUUUUCCCUUCGCCGGCGAUCGCCUCGGUACCCGGACCGACGAUGAUGUUCACGCUCGGUUGCGUGUCCGGAUUGCCGGCCUUGCCGAUGGCGGCGAUGCGCCCGUCCCUGAGGCCGAUAUCGGCCUUGACGAUUCCCCAAUGGUCGACGAUGAGCGCAUUGGUGAUGACCGUGUCGACAGCGCCUGCAGCGCGCGUCACCUGGCUCUGGCCCAUGCCGUCGCGAAUA
Small RNA from Ensifer sp., 290 nucleotides. It matches the Rfam family "5' ureB small RNA". The record is from Rfam. NCBI's taxonomy places the organism in Bacteria, Pseudomonadati, Pseudomonadota, Alphaproteobacteria, Hyphomicrobiales, Rhizobiaceae.